This 253-nucleotide ribosomal RNA is filed under the name uncultured bacterium. Its description in RNAcentral is "partial 16S ribosomal RNA". It matches the Rfam family "Bacterial small subunit ribosomal RNA", at positions 524 to 776 of the family's 1533-position model. The record is from RNAcentral.
UACGAAGGGGGCUAGCGUUGUUCGGAAUUACUGGGCGUAAAGCGCACGUAGGCGGAUUGUUAAGUCAGAGGUGGAAUCCCGGAGCUCAACUUCGGAACUGCCUUUGAUACUGGCAAUCUCGAGUCCGGAAGAGGUUAGUGGAAUUCCCAGUGUAGAGGUGAAAUUCGUAGAUAUUGGGAAGAACACCGGUGGCGAAGGCGGCUCUCUGGACCGAUACUGACGCUGAGGCGCGAAAGCGUGGGGAGCAAACAGG